Molecule: ribosomal RNA, 602 nt
Filed under: Protoparmelia aff. badia A GS-2015
Lineage: Eukaryota; Fungi; Ascomycota; Lecanoromycetes; Lecanorales; Parmeliaceae
Description: eukaryotic LSU rRNA
Rfam family: Eukaryotic large subunit ribosomal RNA
Source: RNAcentral
GAGUCGAGUUGUUUGGGAAUGCAGCUCAAAAUGGGUGGUAAAUUUCAUCUAAAGCUAAAUACUGGCUGGAGACCGAUAGCGCACAAGUAGAGUGAUCGAAAGAUGAAAAGCACUUUGGAAAGAGAGUCAAAAAGUACGUGAAAUUGUUGAAAGGGAAGCGCUUGCAACCAGACCUGUCCGUGGGUGAUCAGCCGCCGUUCUCGGUGGUGCACUCGCCUACGAUCAGGCCAGCAUCGGUUCGGGCGGCCGGACAAAGGCCUUGGGAAUGUAGCUCCUCUCGGGGAGUCUUAUAGCCCUCGGUGCAAUGUGGCCAGCCCGGACCGAGGACCGCGCUUCGGCUAGGAUGCUGGCGUAAUGGUUGUAAGCGACCCGUCUUGAAACACGGACCAAGGAGUCUAACAUCUAUGCGAGUGUUUGGGUGUUAAACCCAUACGCGGAAUGAAAGUGAACGGAGGUGAGAACCCUUUAGGGCGCAUCAUCGACCGAUCCAGAUGUCUUCGGAUGGAUUUGAGUAUGAGCAUAGCUGUUGGGACCCGAAAGAUGGUGAACUAUGCCUGAAUAGGGUGAAGCCAGAGGAAACUCUGGUGGAGGCUCGCAGCGGU